RNAcentral lists this ribosomal RNA (1343 nucleotides) under uncultured bacterium. Its description in RNAcentral is "16S ribosomal RNA". It matches the Rfam family "Bacterial small subunit ribosomal RNA", at positions 28 to 1378 of the family's 1533-position model. The record is from RNAcentral.
GACGAACGCUGGCGGCGUGCUUAACCCAUGCAAGUCGAACGGAAAGGCCCUGCUUUUGUGGGGUGCUCGAGUGGCGAACGGGUGAGUAACACGUGAGUAACCUGCCCUUGACUUUGGGAUAACUUCAGGAAACUGGGGCUAAUACCGGAUAGGAGCUCCUGCUGCAUGGUGGGGGUUGGAAAGUUUCGGCGGUUGGGGAUGGACUCGCGGCUUAUCAGCUUGUUGGUGGGGUAGUGGCUUACCAAGGCUUUGACGGGUAGCCGGCCUGAGAGGGUGACCGGCCACAUUGGGACUGAGAUACGGCCCAGACUCCUACGGGAGGCAGCAGUGGGGAAUAUUGCACAAUGGGCGGAAGCCUGAUGCAGCAACGCCGCGUGCGAGAUGACGGCCUUCGGGUUGUAAACCGCUUUCGCCUGUGACGAAGCGUGAGUGACGGUAAUGGGUAAAGAAGCACCGGCUAACUACGUGCCAGCAGCCGCGGUGAUACGUAGGGUGCGAGCGUUGUCCGGAUUUAUUGGGCGUAAAGGGCUCGUAGGUGGUUGAUCGCGUCGGAAGUGUAAUCUUGGGGCUUAACCCUGAGCGUGCUUUCGAUACGGGUUGACUUGAGGAAGGUAGGGGAGAAUGGAAUUCCUGGUGGAGCGGUGGAAUGCGCAGAUAUCAGGAGGAACACCAGUGGCGAAGGCGGUUCUCUGGGCCUUUCCUGACGCUGAGGAGCGAAAGCGUGGGGAGCGAACAGGCUUAGAUACCCUGGUAGUCCACGCUGUAAACGGUGGGUACUAGGUGUGGGGUCCAUUCCACGGGUUCCGUGCCGUAGCUAACGCUUUAAGUACCCCGCCUGGGGAGUACGGCCGCAAGGCUAAAACUCAAAGGAAUUGACGGGGCCCCGCACAAGCGGCGGAGCAUGCGGAUUAAUUCGAUGCAACGCGUAGAACCUUACCUGGGUUUGACAUGGAUCGGGAGUGCUCAGAGAUGGGUGUGCCUCUUUUGGGGUCGGUUCACAGGUGGUGCAUGGCUGUCGUCAGCUCGUGUCGUGAGAUGUUGGGUUAAGUCCCGCAACGAGCGCAACCCUUGUUCACUGUUGCCAGCACGUUAUGGUGGGGACUCAGUGGAGACCGCCGGGGUCAACUCGGAGGAAGGUGGGGAUGACGUCAAGUCAUCAUGCCCCUUAUGUCCAGGGCUUCACGCAUGCUACAAUGGCUGGUACAGAGAGUGGCGAGCCUGUGAGGGUGAGCGAAUCUCGGAAAGCCGGCCUCAGUUCGGAUUGGGGUCUGCAACUCGACCUCAUGAAGUCGGAGUCGCUAGUAAUCGCAAAUCAGCAACGCUGCGGUGAAUACGUUCCCGGG